GUGACUGUAGCUCAAUGGCAGAGCAACGGAAUGUGGCUCCGUUGAUGCGGGUUCAACUCCCACCAGUCACC
This 71-nucleotide transfer RNA is filed under the name Streptomyces sp. H39-S7. RNAcentral describes it as "tRNA-His". It matches the Rfam family "tRNA". Rfam says of the family: Transfer RNA (tRNA) molecules are approximately 80 nucleotides in length. Lineage: Bacteria; Bacillati; Actinomycetota; Actinomycetes; Kitasatosporales; Streptomycetaceae. The record is from RNAcentral.